RNAcentral lists this transfer RNA (73 nucleotides) under Canis lupus familiaris (dog). It matches the Rfam family "tRNA". Rfam says of the family: Transfer RNA (tRNA) molecules are approximately 80 nucleotides in length. Their secondary structure includes four short double-helical elements and three loops (D, anti-codon, and T loops). RNAcentral also lists the same sequence under 1 other name. Lineage: Eukaryota; Metazoa; Chordata; Mammalia; Carnivora; Canidae. The record is from Rfam by way of RNAcentral.
ACCUGGCUGGCUCAGUUGAUGGAGUAUGUGACUCUUGAUCUCAGGGUUGUGAGUUUGAGUCCCAUGUUGGGUA